GACGAACGCUGGCGGCGUGGAUUAGGCAUGCAAGUCGAACGGUAGGAACCUUUCGGGGUUCUGAGAGUGGCGAACGGGUGAGUAACACGUAGGUGAUCUACCCUCAAAUCGGGGACAACCCAGGGAAACUUGGGCUAAUACCGGAUGAGUGCAUCAGAGAUGGUGUAUAAAAGGUGGCGUAAGCUGCCGUUUGGGGAUGAGCCUGCGCCCUAUUAGUUAGUUGGUGAGGUAAUGGCUCACCAAGGCGAUGAUAGGUAGGCGGCCUUAACGGGUGGUCGCCCACACUGGGAUUGAGAUACGGCCCAGACUCCUACGGGAGGCAGCAGUCGAGAAUAGUCUACAAUGGACGAAAGUCUGAUAGUGCGACGCCGCGUGAACGAAGAAGCCCUUCGGGGUGUAAAGUUCUUUUAUAUGUGAGCAAUGCUUCUUAGGUGAAUAGUCUGAGGAGAGAGAUAUUAGCAUAUGAAUAAGCAACGGCUAAACUCCGUGCCAGCAGACCC
RNAcentral lists this ribosomal RNA (500 nucleotides) under uncultured bacterium. RNAcentral's name for it is "bacterial SSU rRNA". It matches the Rfam family "Bacterial small subunit ribosomal RNA", at positions 28 to 518 of the family's 1533-position model. The record is from RNAcentral.